CAGUGGCGAACGGGUGAGUAACACGUGAGCAAUCUGCCCCUGACUCGGGAUAAGCGCUGGAAACGGCGUCUAAUACCGGAUACGAGCUGCGACCGCAUGGUCAGUAGCUGGAAAAAUUUCGGUCAGGGAUGAGCUCGCGGCCUAUCAGCUUGUUGGUGAGGUAAUGGCUCACCAGGCGUCGACGGGUAGCCGGCCUGAGAGGGUGACCGGCCACACUGGGACUGAGACACGGCCCAGACCCUACGGGAGGCAGCAGUGGGGAAUAUUGCACAAUGGGCGAAAGCCUGAUGCAGCAACGCGCGUGAGGGAUGACGGCCUUCGGGUUGUAAACCUCUUUUAGCAGGGAAGAAGCGAAAGUGACGGUACCUGCAGAAAAAGCGCCGGCUAACUACGUGCCAGCAGCCGCGGUAAUACGUAGGGCGCAAGCGUUAUCCGGAAUUAUUGGGCGUAAAGAGCUCGUAGGCGGUCUGUCGCGUCUGCUGUGAAAACCCGAGGCUCAACCUCGGGCCUGCAGUGGGUACGGGCAGACUAGAGUCCGUAGGGGUGAUAGUACUUCGUGGUGUAGCGGAGGAAGGCGCAGUCAUCAGGAGGAACACCGAUGGCGAAGGCAGAUCUCUGGGCCGUAACUGACGAUGAGGAGCGAAAGGGUGGGCAGCAAACAGUCUUAGAUACCCUGGUAGUCCACCCCGUAAACGUUGGGAACUAGUUGUGGGGUCUAUUCCACGGAUUCCGUGACGCAGCUAACGCAAUAAGUUCCCCGCCUGGGGAGUACGGCCGCAAGGCUAAAACUCAAAGGAAUUGACGGGGACCCGCACAAGCGGCGGAGCAUGCGGAUUAAUUCGAUGCAACGCGAAGAACCUUACCAAGGCUUGACAUAUAGAGGAAACGGCUGGAAACAGUCGCCCCGCAAGGUCUCUAUACAGGUGGUGCAUGGUUGUCGUCAGCUCGUGUCGUGAGAUGUUGGGUUAAGUCCCGCAACGAGCGCAACCCUCGUUCUAUGUUGCCAGCACGUAAUGGUGGGAACUCAUGGGAUACUGCCGGGGUCAACUCGGAGGAAGGUGGGGAUGACGUCAAAUCAUCAUGCCCCUUAUGUCUUGGGCUUCACGCAUGCUACAAUGGCCGGUACAAAGGGCUGCAAUACCGUGAGGUGGAGCGAAUCCCAAAAAGCCGGUCCCAGUUCGGAUUGAGGUCUGCAACUCGACCUCAUGAAGUCGGAGUCGCUAGUAAUCGCAGAUCAGUACCGCCCAAGAUA
RNAcentral lists this ribosomal RNA (1252 nucleotides) under Microbacterium arborescens. RNAcentral describes it as "bacterial SSU rRNA". It matches the Rfam family "Bacterial small subunit ribosomal RNA", at positions 93 to 1364 of the family's 1533-position model. Lineage: Bacteria; Bacillati; Actinomycetota; Actinomycetes; Micrococcales; Microbacteriaceae. The record is from RNAcentral.